This 253-nucleotide ribosomal RNA is filed under the name uncultured bacterium. RNAcentral's name for it is "partial 16S ribosomal RNA". It matches the Rfam family "Bacterial small subunit ribosomal RNA", at positions 524 to 776 of the family's 1533-position model. The record is from RNAcentral.
GACGAACCGUGCGAACGUUGUUCGGAAUCACUGGGCUUAAAGGGCGCGUAGGCGGGUGAGCAAGUCCGGGGUGAAAUCUUUCGGCUUAACCGGAAAAGUGCCUUGGAUACUGCUCGUCUGGAGGAAGGUAGGGGCAGGUGGAACUUCUGGUGGAGCGGUGAAAUGCGUUGAUAUCAGAAGGAACGCCGGUGGCGAAAGCGACCUGCUGGACCUUUUCUGACGCUGAGGCGCGAAAGCUAGGGGAGCAAACGGG